This 1979-nucleotide long non-coding RNA is filed under the name Homo sapiens (human). RNAcentral's name for it is "HSALNT0206248". Lineage: Eukaryota; Metazoa; Chordata; Mammalia; Primates; Hominidae. The record is from RNAcentral.
GGGAGUGAAUCACAAUAGAUGUAAUUCUAGAGUCACAGACAGGAGAGUGGGAAAUUUAUAAAGACACCACACAAUGAAUCUGACUGGCCUGUGAUUGAAAGAAGGCAAUGUCCUGAGAGGAACGGCCUUCGAAUUUUCUGUACAACUAGAAAAGAGAAGAUCUAGGUCUUCAGGCUGGGCAGUCCAAGACCAAGGGGCCAACAGGUUUGGUGUUUGGUGAAGCUCCAGUCUUUUUAUUCAAGAUGGAACCAUAAAUGCUGCUUUUUCUUGAGAGGACAAGUGCUGUAUCCUUACACUGUAGAAGAGCAGAAAAGACCAAACUCAUUCCCUCAAGCCCUUUUAUCAGGGCACAAAUCCUAUGCCUGAGAGUUCUAACCUCAUGAUGUAAUCAUCUCCUAAAGCCUCCUCCUCUAAAUACAAUCACAUUGGGCACUAAGUUUCAACAUACAAAUUCUGAGGGACUCAAUCAGACCAGAGCAUGAGGCAACCCCAAGCUUAAUAACUCCUCUAAGUUGCUACUAAACAAAAGAAACAGAUAACAUUACUGAAGACCAGAAGCUAUAGUCACCAAGCACAAGAUGAAAGAUGAAAUCACAGCGGACCUGACUGUAAGACCUGUGAGAGGACACCAAGACAAGAAGAGAAGGGUAGAAAUUCUUGGUUUCUCUUCUUUUCCUACUCCAAUUUUUCAACAGUGCUUCCCAUUAACUAAAUUCCCCCAGCAAUCUGAAGGCAAGGGCAAAGGAGGCACAAAUCGGGGCAUGGGCAAGAAAUCAAUAAAUGGAGCCUACAUGGGCCAAGGUAUUCCCAUUUAGCCAGUGGACUUGGUUCUCCAGGAAGAAUGAUCUGAGAUAGACUCCAUUUUCUAAUGAUAGUACCAUCAUUAUUCACAGUAAUCAAGAUGUGGAAACAAUAAGUGUCCAUCAACAGAUGAAUAGAUAAAGAAAAUGUGAAUGGAAUGGAAUAUUAUUAAGCCAAGCAAGAAGGAACGUUUGCCAUUUGCAACAAUAUGGAUAAACCUGGAUAACAUUAUGCUACAUGAAACAAACUAAAUCCAAAGAGACAAAUACCGUAUAAUGUUACUUGUAUGUGGAAUCUAAAGAAGUUGAAGUCAUAGCAGUAGAAAAUAGAAUGGUGAUUUCUGGGGGCUGGUGGUUUGAAGAGAUGAGGAGAUGCUGAUAAAAGGUUACAAAUUUAAUUAUAAGAUGAACAAGUUCUGGAGAUCUAAUGUAUAGCACGGGUAGUGAUAAAUGUGUUAAUUAAAUUGAUUGUGAUAAUCAUUAUACAAUGUAUACACAUAUAAAAUUGUCACAUUGUACACCUUGAAUAUGCACAAUCUUUACUUGUCAAUUAAGUAUUUUAAAGUAUAAAAAGAAAACUGUGAAACAUUCAUAGAGAUUAUAACACAAGAAGUCUCAUGUGUACAAAUAACUAAUACCCAUUGUAAGCACCUGGCUGCAGGAAGGGAGAUAAAUAAUAUAAAAUACUAUUCAUUAGCCAAAGCCUUUUUAAAAUCUUUUCUUCUACCUCCUUCUCCUCCUUCUUCUUUUCUCAUCUCUCCCACCUCUCUCCCACCCUUACUUCUCCUCCUCCUCCUCCUUGUUCUUUCUAUUUAAAUAUUACUGUUAGAAAGAUCCUAGUAGGAAUCAGCUGAUAGCAAUUGCUCCUUUGAAAAUUCUAAGUUGUCUCUAGACCUGUAGUCUUACCCAGGUUAUUGUUAGUUCUUAAGAAUCUUUUAUGAAUUUUAACUCUUUUUUAACUUAAAAUAAAAUAAACCAUCUGAAAUUCUUGGAUUUGUUGGCAAAGGCAUUAUUGGCUUAUUUGUUAAAAUUAAAUAAUAACUGAAGCAUUCAGGUUUUAUUUUUCUUUGUAAAAUGUAUUCCCUGUGAGCAUUUCUUAAAAUUGAUAUAUGUAUUUUCUUUAGAAUUACAGAUUCUGUUUUCCUCCCAAAAUUAAUUAGAUGUUGUGAAAUACUCCUA